RNAcentral lists this ribosomal RNA (478 nucleotides) under uncultured bacterium. Its description in RNAcentral is "bacterial SSU rRNA". It matches the Rfam family "Bacterial small subunit ribosomal RNA", at positions 30 to 506 of the family's 1533-position model. The record is from RNAcentral.
UUGAACGCUGGCGGCAGGCUUAACACAUGCAAGUCGAACGAUGACUCUCUAGCUUGCUAGAGAUGAUUAGUGGCGGACGGGUGAGUAACAUUUAGGAAUCUGCCUAGUAGUGGGGGAUAGCUCGGGGAAACUCGAAUUAAUACCGCAUACGACCUACGGGUGAAAGGGGGCGCAAGCUCUUGCUAUUAGAUGAGCCUAAAUCAGAUUAGCUAGUUGGUGGGGUAAAGGCCCACCAAGGCGACGAUCUGUAACUGGUCUGAGAGGAUGAUCAGUCACACCGGAACUGAGACACGGUCCGGACUCCUACGGGAGGCAGCAGUGGGGAAUAUUGGACAAUGGGGGCAACCCUGAUCCAGCCAUGCCGCGUGUGUGAAGAAGGCCUUUUGGUUGUAAAGCACUUUAAGCAGGGAGGAGAGGCUAAUGGUUAAUACCCAUUAGAUUAGACGUUACCUGCAGAAUAAGCACCGGCUAACUCUGU